RNAcentral lists this ribosomal RNA (476 nucleotides) under Streptococcus sp. oral taxon 431. Its description in RNAcentral is "bacterial SSU rRNA". It matches the Rfam family "Bacterial small subunit ribosomal RNA", at positions 28 to 488 of the family's 1533-position model. The record is from RNAcentral. Lineage: Bacteria; Bacillati; Bacillota; Bacilli; Lactobacillales; Streptococcaceae.
GACGAACGCUGGCGGCGUGCCUAAUACAUGCAAGUAGAACGCUGAAGGAGGAGCUUGCUUCUCCGGAUGAGUUGCGAACGGGUGAGUAACGCGUAGGUAACCUGCCUGGUAGCGGGGGAUAACUAUUGGAAACGAUAGCUAAUACCGCAUAACAGUAGAUAUUGCAUGAUAUCUGCUUGAAAGGUGCAAUUGCAUCACUACCAGAUGGACCUGCGUUGUAUUAGCUAGUUGGUGGGGUAACGGCUCACCAAGGCGACGAUACAUAGCCGACCUGAGAGGGUGAUCGGCCACACUGGGACUGAGACACGGCCCAGACUCCUACGGGAGGCAGCAGUAGGGAAUCUUCGGUAAUGGACGGAAGUCUGACCGAGCAACGCCGCGUGAGUGAAGAAGGUUUUCGGAUCGUAAAGCUCUGUUGUAAGAGAAGAACGAGUGUGAGAGUGGAAAGUUCACACUGUGACGGUAUCUUACCAGAA